This 210-nucleotide long non-coding RNA is filed under the name Elaeis guineensis (African oil palm). RNAcentral describes it as "long non-coding RNA (EGUI_LNC002330)". Lineage: Eukaryota; Viridiplantae; Streptophyta; Magnoliopsida; Arecales; Arecaceae. The record is from RNAcentral.
AAUGAUGUUGUUGUCAUUUCCAUGACAAUAGCAAAAUAUGAUAUAAAAAGAAUAUUAGUUGAUAAUGAAAGCUCUGCUGAUGUGUUGUUCUAUGAUGCAUUUCAGAAAAUGAAUAUAUUAGAUCGGUUAAUGUAGGUCGAUACUCUGCUGGUCAGAUUCUUUGGAGAUCCUAUAGCUGUAGAAUGAGAAAUCACUCUAUCUAUAACUACA